ACGGAGGAGUGUAGUUUGUACACAAGUCAAUAGGUGUAAUGCACCCAAAGGCGUUAUGAAAAUGAGGACACGUGUAAACGGUUUACGUGGGAAAUAUUCUCGUUAUCAUACGGAAAAUAUUAAACCAUAGCGUUGUCUAGUCUGCUGCUUGAAGUUCGGGAGCUGUAGGGCGUGUAGGUGGCCACCCGAAAAGUGGUUAACUAUACCUGAACAGGAUGAAGUCAGAGAAAACUCUGAUAGAACUCCUUAUUUGGUUCUGAUGUGCAACUCAGUCGAUAGACGUAGAUAGAGGGAUGAAAGACUAAUCGGACCAUCUAUUACUUGGAUCGCUUCGAAGUUCAUCCCAAGGACAGCUUGAGUACGCUUUGUGUAAACAAUUAUAUCCCGGUGAAGCCAAUGAUUAAAGAAAUUUGGAUCUAAGCGAUCUCUACGUAUUCCCAAACUUUAAAUGGGUAAGUUUUGUCGGUUUCUUCAUUUUUUAUUAUCACCAUAUCAUUAUUAUCGUUGAUGUUAAACUGUUGAUAUGAACGUGAGAUCAUAAGAUCAUCAUAUUUGCACAUAAGAUCCCAUGAAAGGCGACAGAUAAACCGUAUUGCCUGCUAAAGCUGUAUCACUCCGGUCGAAUGUCGGGGCGCAAAAUUAUAUGUUCAGCAACAUGUGUUAUGCUGAUCAAGAUGUUCUAUUUAGUAGAGCAGUGUUUGUAAACUUCGAUCUGUUCAGACUACCUUAUGAUUGAGUGUUUUUCUGAUCUUUUUAGAAUAUAAAAGCAAUUUUUGGAUUGUUUCGU
Non-coding RNA from Dictyocaulus viviparus (bovine lungworm), 787 nucleotides. The record is from Rfam. NCBI's taxonomy places the organism in Eukaryota, Metazoa, Nematoda, Chromadorea, Rhabditida, Metastrongylidae.